AUGUCGAGCUCCGCUUCAGCCUCCCGCCGCUCAUGGCCGCGCUAUGGCGCAGUGCCCAUGACAAGGUGCCCUGCAUGCCCACGUAUCGCACCCCUGAAGCGGCUAGUCACAACGACCGACAAGAAUGGCAACCUUGGGCGGGAAUUCGUGAAAUGCGAGAGCAAACCAGAGCAGGAAGAGAAAUUGAAGCAAUGCACCCAUUUUGAGUGGCUAGAUGAGUACAUAGAGCGGAUUCAACUGGAGGGUGCAUCAGGGGAGCUCGAUUUACCGUUGGAGGCGGAGAAGUUGGGCAAGUUUGGAUCAGGUGCGUCUGGAUCUGGGGCCCCUGAAUCUGGCAAUUCCAUUGAGGGCGCCCAUUCCAUUGGUGCUACCGUGGGGGAUGCAGGAGUGACGGCAGAGCUGAAGAAGCUGAACAAGCAGAUGAAGAAACUCAUCGAAUUGCAGAAGCAGGGCAAUUUGAUGGGACUGAUGGCCGGACUUUUUUAUGUUUGUGUAAUUGCUCUCGCAUUUGUUUAUGUG
Molecule: ribosomal RNA, 519 nt
Filed under: Triticum aestivum (bread wheat)
Lineage: Eukaryota; Viridiplantae; Streptophyta; Magnoliopsida; Poales; Poaceae
Description: partial small subunit ribosomal RNA
Source: RNAcentral